UUUAAUUUUUUUUUCUUCUUUUUUUUUUCUUUUUUUUUUCUUUUUUUUUUUUUUUUUUUUCUUGGGGAGGAAAAGUCCAAACACUGGAAAACCUGAAGGAUUCCAGGCAAUUUACCACAAAAACCUUUGGUAUGGAAUAGUCCUGUCCUGCUACAUCCAGGAAGAGAGGGUUGGGAGGUGAAAUAUCUCCUAAAGAAGCAGAACUGUGCAGAAAAUGAAGUCCUAUUGAGAGGUCUUAAAGCUCUGGACAAGGUUCAUUUUCCAAGAGGCUUCGUUUUGGGGAUGGAUUUGGGAAGCAUUUUCCUGCUUAUAAAUAUCUCUGUUGCUCUGACUUUUGUUCUACUUCUGGAUCUUGCAUCAUCUCCCAUGGGGAAGGGACUGUCGUUUUUAUAUCCUUUUUAUAUCCUUUUUUAAAUCCUUUUUUUUUUUUUUCCUUCUUAGAUGUUUAUUCAGCAUUUAAUACCCCAGAUUGGGGCAUUUAAUAUCCCAGAAUCAUUUAGGUUGGAAAAGGCCUCAUUUAGGUUGGGAAAGACCUCAGAAUAUCAGGAGAUUUGGCACGGUAAUUCCCAGUGAUUCCAUGAGAUCCCCCAGCAAACCUGGGGAUAAAUCCAGCACCUGAAGUGCCAGUGAUCCCUAAAUCAUCACUUUCACUCAGGAAAACAAUUUUUAUCCUUUCCAAAUCCAAUAUUAAUCAAGGGAAUAAAGUUCAUGGAGCCUUUUUCAAUAAAGCAGCAGUGGAAGAGCAGCAUUGUCCUUGGAAAGGGGUGUGAACUCCUUCAGUGCAGGGGAAAGGCUGGCAAAAAUCACCACGUUUGCUCUGUGGCACUUUGAAAUUCUCCCCAAAACAGGCUCCAGGUUUAAUAUUUAUCACAAAUCUCCACGUUUUAUUCAUCUACAAGUCCCAGCGCAUUGUUCACUGCACUACAAUCUCAUUUAUUAAAAUGUUUUAGGAGCUAGGAUGCAUAAAAUUCUUACCUAAAUAAAAUUUAAUGUGGAAAAAUCACUGUUUGCUGCCUGAGAACUCUGCCCUCAUUUUCACAACGUUCCUGCUUCUCAUCACUAAAAUAAACAGCUCAACUUAAUGACCCAAAGGAGGGGUUUUAGUUUGGGAAAAUUAAAUGUGUCCAAUUCUUUACAUGGAAGAACAUUAUCCAUGAGUGUCCUCUCUGCAGGGAAUGGUCACAGGAAGGGGUGGGAUGAAUAAUUUCAAUUUCAGAGAAGUUUUUCCUCACUGACCAUCAGCACCACAGCCCAGGAAGGGAGAAGGAGCUCCUUGCACCAGACACCUUCAGGGAAGAGAGGAAAAAAGGCUGAGCAUGGAAAGACCUUUCCCAAAUCUUCCCAAAGUCAAUGGAAUAGACAUGAGAGGAUUUGGACAGAAAAUCAAACAUCUCAGAACACUUGGAGCUGGGCUUUUCAGAAGGAAAAGUCUUUUUUUUUUAGCAUUAUUUGCCCACUCAGGUCAUAGAAUAGAACCUCAGAAUCCUCUAAAUCAUUGAGGGUGGAAAAGAAUUCCAAGGUUUUGAAUCCAAACUGUGCCUGAUCCCCACCUUGUCCCCAGCCCAGAGCACUCAGUGCCACCUCCAGGCCUUGGACACCUCCAGGGAUGGGCACUCCAAACCUCCCUGGGAUGAAUUAUUUCAAACCAAACUCCCAUUUUCACAUUAAAUCCCAUACUUUCCCAUUUUUUUACUGAUGUAAAUGAUUUCUCUCUCUCAGCCUGGGCAGCCUUACUCUGAAUUUGAUGCUGUUGUACUUUGAGUUUUCUGGACAGGCCAUUUCAUCAGUGUCAAUAACCGUGAAUUGAAUACUGAAAUGGAAAAUCAAUGUGUUCUGACCUAAACUGGGCUGGAAACCUUGGAUUUUCAGGAGCAACAGGGAAUCAUGUCAAUCACCUUGCAGGCAAUGGAGAGCAUUGAUCUCAGUCAAGAGCCAGAUUUCAUUUGUAAAGGUUACUGAGGGCUGAAAGUGAUCCUUGAGAUGUCAUGGAUCACGUCACUGAGUUUUUCAGGAUACAAAGGUCUCCCCACCUUGAUUUUCCAACAUUUGGCAGCCACUUUGGAGAAAAACACUGAGGGAAAAAAUCAAAGGACCACUUUCUUCCUGGAAAAAAAAAAAAAAAACCAGCCUGGAGAAGAGGUUUUGGAGCAAACUCAUUGUGGUAUUCCAGGACCUGAAGAAGUCAUAGGGAAAAUGGUGAGAGACAAUUGCCAAGGGCUGCAGGGACAGGAGCCAGGGAAUGGCUCCCAGUGCCAGAGGGCAGGGCUGGAUGGGCUCUUGGGAAUCAGGAAUUGUUCCCUGGCAGGGUGGGCAGGCCCUGGCACAGGGUGCCCAGAGCAGCUGUGGCUGCCCCUGCAUCCCUGGCAGUGCCCAAGGCCAGGCUGGACACUGGGGCUGGAGCAGCCUGGGACAGUGGGAGGUGUCCCUGCCAUGGCAGGGGUGGCACUGGGUGGAUUUUAAAGUCCUCUUUAAGGUCUUUUUUUCCUCUCUGGGCAAUCUGUGCCAGUGCCAAAUGGUACCAGAAUAUUUGGCAAUGAUUUGGGCAAUGUGUUCUCCAUGCAUGCCCAGAAAGUUGUUCCUAAAUUGUUCCUUCUUCCUGUUCUGCCCUUACUCUGCAUUGCCUGACUCAAAGGAAGGGAACAACCCCAUGAUAUUCCAUUUUCCUUCCCACUAAAUAAAACCCCUUUAAACCCUGGCAGUGCCCAAGGCCAGGCUGGAGCAGCCUGGGACAGGGGGAGGUGUCCCUGCCAUGGCAGGGGUGGGCUCUGAGGUCCUUCCCAACCCAACCCAUUCCAGGAUUCCACGAUUCUGGUAUUCCAUGAUUCCAUCAAAUAAAUGGCUGUUAAAAUCUAAGACAACUUUUUGCCACUGAGCUGCUCUCAGUGGCCUCAGACAUUUAAAGAAGUGGCACAAUCCUUCCACUUCAGAAUAAAAAGUUCUUUCAAUUCAGUAUCCAAGCAGAUCUUUUAUAAUUAUAAAUAACGUGUAAAAAAGGAGGAAAGGGCUUUAACUAAAAGUCCUGCUUGAGUGCUGGAGGGGCACAGUUCCACAGGCCCAAAGGGGAAUAUUUUAUUCCUUUAUUCCAGAACUUUAUCACUUUUCCAUGUGGGACUGACUGUGGCUGUUUCCUCCUUCUGCUCCUACUGAUGAAUCCGCUGAGGAGCCACAGCAGGGCUGUCCUGGGCCUGCCAAAGCAGAGCAGCCUCACUGCCCAGGAGUCUGGAACUGCAGACAUCCUCUCCUUUUCCAGGAGAGGAAACGCUUUUGCUUUGCUGUGUUUUUGCUUUCCAGUCUAACCAAGCUCAGCUUUAUCUUUGGGAUCCUUCAGCUCCGGUACGGCAGAGCCACAGUGCACAGAGGGGGACUUGGAAAUAUUCCAAAGGAUUUCAUUUCAUUCUUCUUCAAGGAAAAAAUGAGGAGGAGCAACCAAGGUAAACUGCUGAAGAGCAGCAGGGCUGGAAGUGCAGAGCAUUAAGUGAUGGUUGUGUAUCCCAUCCCAUACAUGAAUGUAAUUCUUCUAAUAUUAUUAAAUGUUAUUUUGCAA
Long non-coding RNA from Prinia subflava (tawny-flanked prinia), 3544 nucleotides. RefSeq lists it as uncharacterized. The transcript has 2 exons. The record is from RefSeq and is a predicted model, not a curated record. Lineage: Eukaryota; Metazoa; Chordata; Aves; Passeriformes; Cisticolidae.